AAAUGAAGCCAAACUAUUGUUUCAUUCUCCAAAAUAUAAUAAAAAUAAUAACUUAAUCCCGCGCAAGGCGCGGGUCUUAUCCUAGUUUUAUAUAAUAGGGAAAAUAAACUAAACCCAAAUCAGAAUUGGUAUCCGACCGAAGAUGUAAAAAAUACCCGAAUCUAUCUAUCUAUCUAUACUAAUAAAAGAGACUUUUUGAGGCUCCAUGGAGCAUUCAUAUCAUCGAAAAAUAUUUUUUCCGAAAGAUCACAUGUGGCGUUAUUACUAAUUUAUAAAAAAUAAAAGGGGAAUUGUCACUAAUACCACUUUCCUAAUACCACUUUUCAACUUUACACUUUUCAAAUUUACCAUUAAAAUUUUAAUGACUAAAGUACCAUUAUACCCCUCAUUUCAUUAAUUUAACCUAGAUCUAUUCUUCUCCAAAUGUCUGUCACGAGAUGAAAAUGAGAUCAAAUUGAGACGAGCUCCAACGAGAUCUCCGGCAAACUCGGCGAUCUCCGGCAAACUCGGCGAGCUCCGGCAAAUUCGGCGAUCUCCGGCGAACUUGGCGAUCUCCGGCGAACUCGACGAUCUCCGACGAACUCGACCGGAUUGGGAGAGCGUGGCGGCGAGUGGACAUCCCGCCGUUCCUCCGCCGGCAUUAUGUAGUCGUAGUAAUCCUCCGAUGCUAAAUCGGUCACGUUCGUCACGAAUCGCAUGCCGAGAAGUUCUCCGGCAAAGCUGACAGACUCGACAAGCUCAGACGAACGAGACGAUCUCUCUCCCAACGCCUAAGAAACACUAACAAAGGUAAGAUGAUAGUAUAUGGUGAUUUUUGCCUCUUUCUGUAAUUUUAGCUUGAUUUAUCAAAAUCGAUAUGUUUCUAAGAAAGAAGACGAAGUUUUUCAAGUGAAGUUUUCAGAUCUCAAAUUUAUAAGAUCUUAUAAAUUGGGUCUUUUCAAAUCUUACUGUUGAUCUGUUAGCAAUCAAAAGACACAAAGCUUAACGUAAGAGUACAAUUAUUGAUUUGGUUGAUUUAUUGUCAUAGUUUUCAGAUUUAUAUAAUUAUUUAAUUCAUGAGAAGGUACUAACCUAAGAGUAUAAUUAUUCUAUGAUUACUUCUUCUCUUGGUUGAUUUGGUGAUGUUGCAGAGAAUUACAAAUGUGUGUUGUCAGCUUUUGGAUUUAAAGGAUGUUGUGGAGAAUAUGUGUGGUGAUAUGCAUAUCUAAGUAUCUCACUUCUUUAAGAUUUUGAAAAUUUACGAGGUUGGUGAGCUGUUUGAAGAGGCAAGAGAGACUCUGAAGAAGAAUGUGGUUUGUGCUAUCAAAGAAUUACGUAUUUAUAACGCUUUAUAAAAAUUGCAGAGUUGGCUUCUUAGUACAUUCUUCUCUCUCAUCUUAUUUAGACAUCUCUUAUACUAAAACAAUUGUAUCUCUCUUUUAGUAGUUGCAUAGUUGAAGAUAUUAGUUGGACAUGUAAGUGAGUUUGGUUUCAAUUGUUUCUUUUAUAGAAGAGUGAGAUAUGGAGAAGCCUUGAUGUUCUCAGACUAUGUUAAAGCAAUAUACCCCUUGUUGAAGGACGUGGCUCUUUCACCAGAUAUGUCUUUUUGUGUUGAUUGUCUUUUGGAGGGAUUUUAGAAAAAUUACCUUAUAAGCCAUUGUAAAUAAAUUUAUAAACGCUUAUAAAUCGCUUUGAGUUUCUUACACUCAUUCUGCCUAGCAUUCCUCACAAGACUUCUCAAGUUCAAACAUUUAUGUGUUUUGUAUAGACAUAUACAAUCAACUCUUGUUUAAAAACUUCUUAAUAAAAACUUAUAAAUCGUCGAGUUGUACUUUUAACAAUAGACUUAUAAAUAGCUUAUAUGUUCUUGUAAAUAGUUUAAUACACCCUUUUAAAUAGUUUUAUAAACCUGUAUAAAUAGUUAUAUACUUUUGUAAAGAGAUGACGAUACGUGGCAGAUUGUGAGGCACAUGAGGACAGCAAGCAAGACUCCACCGCUUCAGAAAUUUUACAUACUUUUAUAAAUUAUUUUAUAAUCCUUUAUUAUGGUGUAUAAACUUUAUAAUUAUUUUUAUAAACCCUUAUAAAAUAUUUACAUACUCUUGUAAACCCUUAUAUAUUAUUAUACACACCAUUAUAAAUUGUUUUAUAAGGCUUUCAUAAAGUUUUUAUAAACCCUUAUUAAUAGUAUACAUACCUCUUAUAAAUUAUUUAUAAACUUUCAUAACUUUCUUAUAAACAUUUAUAAAUGAUUUAUAGAUCUUAUAACUUGUUUUAUAUGUUUUUAUUAAUGGUUUAUAUACUCUUACAAAUAAUUUUACAUACCCUUAUAAGGCUUUGUAAAGAGAUGAUGAUACGUGACAGAUUCUAAGGCACAUGUGGACAGCAAGCACGGUUCCACCGCUUUAGAAAUUUUACAUAUCCUUAUAAAUUGUUUUAUUAUAAUCCUUUAUAA
Brassica rapa (field mustard) is the source of this 2434-nucleotide long non-coding RNA. RefSeq lists it as uncharacterized. NCBI's taxonomy places the organism in Eukaryota, Viridiplantae, Streptophyta, Magnoliopsida, Brassicales, Brassicaceae. The record is from RefSeq and is a predicted model, not a curated record.